Molecule: ribosomal RNA, 557 nt
Filed under: uncultured bacterium
Lineage: Bacteria
Description: bacterial SSU rRNA
Rfam family: Bacterial small subunit ribosomal RNA
Source: RNAcentral
ACGGGUGAGUAACGCGUGGGAACGUGCCCUUCGGUUCGGAGUAACUCAGGGAAACUUGAGCUAAUACCGGAUACGCCCUUAUGGGGAAAGGUUUACUGCCGAAGGAUCGGCCCGCGUCUGAUUAGCUAGUUGGUGAGGUUAUGGCUCACCAAGGCGACGAUCAGUAGCUGGUCUGAGAGGAUGAUCAGCCACACUGGGACUGAGACACGGCCCAGACUCCUACGGGAGGCAGCAGUGGGGAAUAUUGGACAAUGGGGGCAACCCUGAUCCAGCCAUGCCGCGUGAGUGAUGACGGCCUUAGGGUUGUAAAGCUCUUUUCUCCGGGACGAUAAUGACGGUACCGGAGGAAUAAGCCCCGGCUAACUUCGUGCCAGCAGCCGCGGUAAUACGAAGGGGGCUAGCGUUGCUCGGAAUCACUGGGCGUAAAGGGCGCGUAGGCGGCUGAUUUAGUCGAGGGUGAAAGCCCGUGGCUCAACCACGGAAUGGCCUUCGAUACUGGUUGGCUUGAGACCGGAAGAGGACAGCGGAACUGCGAGUGUAGAGGUGAAAUUCGUAGA